AUACACCCGGUUACAUUUCGAACCCGGCAGUUAAGUCUGUUUACGCCUAAGAUACUUAGAGUUCAUCUAGGGAAAAUCGGUAAUCGCCAAAC
This 92-nucleotide ribosomal RNA is filed under the name Leptotrichia sp. OH3620_COT-345. Lineage: Bacteria; Fusobacteriati; Fusobacteriota; Fusobacteriia; Fusobacteriales; Leptotrichiaceae. The record is from RNAcentral.